Molecule: ribosomal RNA, 838 nt
Filed under: marine metagenome
Description: bacterial SSU rRNA
Rfam family: Bacterial small subunit ribosomal RNA
Source: RNAcentral
CUAGUGUAGAGGUGAAUUCGUAGAUAUUAGAAAGAAUACCAAUUGCGAAGGCAGCUUUCUGGAUCAUUACUGACACUGAGGAACGAAAGCAUGGGUAGCGAAGAGGAUUAGAUACCCUCGUAGUCCAUGCCGUAAACGAUGUGUGUUAGACGUUGGAAAUUUAUUUUCAGUGUCGCAGCGAAAGCGAUAAACACACCGCCUGGGGAGUACGACCGCAAGGUUAAAACUCAAAUGAAUUGACGGGGACCCGCACAAGUAGUGGAGCAUGUGGUUUAAUUCGAAGAUACGCGCAGAACCUUACCAACACUUGACAUGUUCGUCGCGACUUUAAGAGAUUAAAGUUUUCGGUUCGGCCGGACGAAACACAGGUGCUGCAUGGCUGUCGUCAGCUCGUGUCGUGAGAUGUUGGGUUAAGUCCCGCAACGAGCGCAACCCUCACUUUUAGUUGCCAUCAUUAAGUUGGGCACUCUGAAAGAACUGCCAGUGAUAAGCUGGAGGAAGGUGGGGAUGACGUCAAGUCCUCAUGGCCCUUACGUGUUGGGCUACACACGUGCUACAAUGGUAUCUACAACAGGAAGCGAAACAGCGAUGUUAAGCAAAUCCUUAAAAGAUACCUCAGUUCGGAUUGCACUCUGCAACUCGAGUGCAUGAAGCUGGAAUUACUAGUAAUCGUGGAUCAGCGUGCCACGGUGAAUGCGUUCCCGGGUCUUGUACACACCGCCCGUCACACCAUGGGAGUUGGUUCUACCUUAAGGCAAGGUUUAAUACCCUUGACCACGGUAUAGUCAGCGACUGGGGUGAAGUCGUAACAAGGUAGCCGUAGGGGAACCUGCGGCUG